This 16-nucleotide ribosomal RNA is filed under the name Desmognathus quadramaculatus (black-bellied salamander). RNAcentral's name for it is "partial large subunit ribosomal RNA". Lineage: Eukaryota; Metazoa; Chordata; Amphibia; Caudata; Plethodontidae. The record is from RNAcentral.
AUCUUAAAUCUAGCUU